RNAcentral lists this ribosomal RNA (305 nucleotides) under uncultured bacterium. Its description in RNAcentral is "bacterial SSU rRNA". It matches the Rfam family "Bacterial small subunit ribosomal RNA", at positions 335 to 655 of the family's 1533-position model. The record is from RNAcentral.
GGUCCCUACGGGACGCAGCAGUGGGGAAUAUUGCACAAUGGGGGAAACCCUGAUGCAGCAACGCCGCGUGAGUGAAGAAGUAUUUCGGUAUGUAAAGCUCUAUCAGCAGGGAAGAAGAAAGACGGUACCUGACUAAGAAGCCCCGGCUAACUACGUGCCAGCAGCCGCGGUAAUACGUAGGGGGCAAGCGUUAUCCGGAAUUACUGGGUGUAAAGGGAGCGUAGACGGUGAUGCAAGUCUGGAGUGAAAGGCGGGGGCCCAGCCCCCGGACUGCUCUGGAAACUGUGUAACUUGAGUGCAGGGGG